This 894-nucleotide small RNA is filed under the name Pan troglodytes (chimpanzee). Its description in RNAcentral is "retained intron". Lineage: Eukaryota; Metazoa; Chordata; Mammalia; Primates; Hominidae. The record is from RNAcentral.
AUCUUGGCGGCGGAGCGAUGAGCGGGUCUAACCCGAAGGCUGCGGCCGCGGCGUCGGCGGCUGGGCCCGGGGGGCUGGUGGCUGGCAAGGAGGAGAAGAAGAAGGCGGGCGGCGGCGUCCUGAACCGCCUGAAGGCGCGGCGGCAGGCGCCCCACCACGCGGCCGACGACGGCGUCGGGGCAGCGGUCACGGAGCAGGAGCUGCUGGCGCUGGACACCAUCCGGCCCGAGCACGUCCUGCGCCUCAGCCGGGUCACCGAGAGUGAGUGCCGCGCGGGCCGCGCCCUCCCCUCGCGCCGUGCCCCGGCUCCCGGAGCCUUCAGCGGACCCGGCCACUUGACCAGAGCGGGGGUCCCCCCCAGACCCCUUCGGCCGGCCGGGCCGCGCUUCCCGCUGCCCCGCCGGCCGGGCUUUGCCCCCGCCACGCUCACGUAGCUCUGGUGGGGAAGGACUCCUGGGCUGGACCGCAUUCCUGUGAGUCCGGCCACGCUAGGAUGCCCUUCGGCCGGUCGGCUCCCCAGCUCUGCCGGACCUGUUUGGGUAGAGGGCCCCGUUCAGCUGAACUGGAUCCUCCUGAGCCGGCCGGGGGCCGAGGUCCCCUAAUAAAUGGGCCCCUGGGCCCUCAACCUGGAACCCCCGGCCAUCAGUGAAGUUCCCGCUCAGCCAGGCCCCCCCAGCCCUCUGGCAGGCCAGAAGCCUUACCUGCUUCCUCCGCCCCGGCCCCAUGGCAGCCCUCCCCCGUUGCAGCCUGCCCGGCCUCCCUCCCUCUUUGGGUCGGGAGCGUUGCCCCUUAGUGUGCAGAUGGGUUCUUCCUCAAAACACAUAGCCGUGGCAUUUCCUGCUCAUUUAAAACUGUGCCACAUUAAAACAAAAAUAAAGUUUCAGUUUGUGUACA